Hippoglossus stenolepis (Pacific halibut) is the source of this 138-nucleotide small nuclear RNA. RefSeq annotates it as U4 spliceosomal RNA. The record is from RefSeq and is a predicted model, not a curated record. The transcript has a single exon. NCBI's taxonomy places the organism in Eukaryota, Metazoa, Chordata, Actinopteri, Pleuronectiformes, Pleuronectidae.
AUCCCUUCGCAGUGGCAGUAUCAGCCCAUGAGGUCAAUCCGAGGCGUGAUUGGCUGCUAGUUGAAAACUUUGCACUAAUUCCCGCCUUGACGACCUGAAAUAUAGUCGCAAUGGUACUUUUGAUGGUCUCUAUGGAGA